ACGGGUGAGUAACACGUGGGAAUCUGCCUUCAAGUGGGGGAUAACUGGCCGAAAGGCUAGCUAAUACCCCAUAUGUCGCAAGAUAAAAGGAGCAAUUCGCUUGAAGAUGAGCCCGCGGCCGAUUAGCUAGUUGGAAGGGUAACGGCCUACCAAGGCAACGAUCGGUAGCUGGUCUGAGAGGAUGAUCAGCCACAAUGGGACUGAGACACGGCCCAUACUCCUACGGGAGGCAGCAGUGGGGAAUUUUACACAAUGGGGGAAACCCUGAUGUAGCGACACCGCGUGAGCGAAGAAGCCCUUUGGGGUGUAAAGCUCUGUCAGCAGGGACGAAAAAAAUGACGGUACCUGCAGAGGAAGCAUCGGCUAACUACGUGCCAGCAGCCGCGGUAAGACGUAGGAUGCGAGCGUUGUCCGGAUUUAUUGGGCGUAAAGAGUUCGUAGGUGGUUCAUUAAGUCUGGUGUAAAAGGCUGGGGCUCAACCCUGGUACGGCACCGGAUACUGGUGGACUGGAGUGCAGUAGAGGCAAGCGGAAUUCCCAGUGUAGCGGUGAAAUGCGUAGA
RNAcentral lists this ribosomal RNA (561 nucleotides) under uncultured bacterium. Its description in RNAcentral is "bacterial SSU rRNA". It matches the Rfam family "Bacterial small subunit ribosomal RNA", at positions 102 to 694 of the family's 1533-position model. The record is from RNAcentral.